Molecule: long non-coding RNA, 643 nt
Organism: Cornus florida
Lineage: Eukaryota; Viridiplantae; Streptophyta; Magnoliopsida; Cornales; Cornaceae
Exons: 5
Source: RefSeq, a predicted model, not a curated record
UAUUGCUUAUACUCACACAUAAACGCUCUAAUGUCUAUGCUUCCAUUCUACUCUCUCACUGACCCACGACUUCACGACUUGGUGGUGCCCUUGGUGUGGCGCAGGAAGGAUCACGGCGGCGGUGGUUGAUUGGUGGCAUAUUGGAGAUCUGGAGAGUGGUGGUUGUUGAGUGGGGCUACUAUAGCUUGUUACAUAAUCUAUCAUAAUGGAUAGAAGUUGGAUUACGGACUCAAGGGAAGGCGCUAACUCAUGCUCAACUAUUUUGCGCAACACAUAAGAGCAAGAAGGAUGGCAAAGCUAGUGAUGAACAUGCUACCAAAAUGAUUUGAAGGUACCCGGCUCCUCAACUACACUUGGUGAUCCUUAAAUUUUAUUUUUGGUCAUGAAAUUCCGUCCUUGGGCAAAUUGAAGCAAGACGAGAGAUGAAGUUGAACCAUUUAUUCUCAAGACCCUCGAAUAGUCUCACUCAAAUUCUCAAUGAAAUGUUGAUGUUUUAUUUUGAAUGAUUUCCUUUUGAAGUUUUGCUAGAUUUUGGUGUUUCCUUUUGACCCUUUUAUUAGCACUUGACAUUUUGAAACAAAACUUAUAUGUUAUGGGAUGUUAUUGAAUUUUAAUGUAACUUUGUUCUAUGUUACAUAUCAAA